CUAUCCUGAUAGUUCUUCCACACACAAUACGUAUACUUGGUGUGUGAAAUAGAGGGUGCAAGAGAGUGCUAGAAGGGCCUGGUUUUAUAGCUCAAGAACGCAAAGGAGUUAGAUUUUUGUUAAAUUCACAGUUGUGUUCAAGUCAUCUACUCCUCAAUAUAAGUUCAAUCUAAGGAUACAAGAGAUCAAUCAAGUUUCACUUAAUAGCUAACGGUGAUCAUAAGGUGAGACAAGUGGAGCCCGAAAAGAUCCAGGGAAGGGUAUAGCUUAGCACUAGCGGUGUUGCUCGUUGGAUGUGUAACGAGUAUCUCUUAUGCCUUUCUUUGAAACUAGUUACGCCCUUUUUGUGCAACUAAUAAAGUUGCAAGUUUAAACCAGUUGAUAACAAGCUUUUUGAACAGAUUUCAUCAAGUAUGUAAGGUCAGUUGUAAGUAAGUAGAAAUGUAGUUUUGUAUCA
Molecule: long non-coding RNA, 457 nt
Organism: Erigeron canadensis
Lineage: Eukaryota; Viridiplantae; Streptophyta; Magnoliopsida; Asterales; Asteraceae
Exons: 3
Source: RefSeq, a predicted model, not a curated record